CUGGGGGUCAGUAUUGAUCCGUUAUUUAGUCGGGUUUCUUUAUCGGGGUUCUUUAUUAGUUUUUAGUUCAUUUUUUUUUUUUUUUUUGUUUAAGUAUUUUUAUGCUUUUCUUUCUUUGAUUUAGUAUGAUAUUGUUGGUAUGCGCUAAUACUACUAAUAAAUUACUAAAUUUCUAAUUUUAUUAUUAGAUUAUUAAUUAGAAAUUAGUUUCUAAUUUUACAGUUAAUUUCAUAGCAAAGAAAAAAGCCAAUAGAAAGGUUGUAGUUUUCUGCUCUUCGAUCUUCAUUUGGCUCUUCAUAAGUAAGAUAAGAUAAACAAAAAUAAUCAAUGGUUGAAUUUUAGAUCUUUGUAUUUCAAAAUUGUG
Molecule: long non-coding RNA, 364 nt
Filed under: Citrus maxima (pomelo)
Lineage: Eukaryota; Viridiplantae; Streptophyta; Magnoliopsida; Sapindales; Rutaceae
Description: long non-coding RNA (CMAX_LNC004299)
Source: RNAcentral